CCUGGCUCAGGAUGAACGCUGGCGGCGUGCUUAACACAUGCAAGUCGAACGGUGAACACGGAGCUUGCUCUGUGGGAUCAGUGGCGAACGGGUGAGUAACACGUGAGCAACCUGCCCCUGACUCUGGGAUAAGCGCUGGAAACGGCGUCUAAUACUGGAUAUGUGACGUGACCGCAUGGUCUGCGUUUGGAAAGAUUUUUCGGUUGGGGAGGGGCUCGCGGCCUAUCAGCUUGUUGGUGAGGUAAUGGCUCACCAAGGCGUCGACGGGUAGCCGGCCUGAGAGGGUGACCGGCCACACUGGGACUGAGACACGGCCCAGACUCCUACGGGAGGCAGCAGUGGGGAAUAUUGCACAAUGGGCGAAAGCCUGAUGCAGCAACGCCGCGUGAGGGAUGACGGCCUUCGGGUUGUAAACCUCUUUUAGCAGGGAAGAAGCGAAAGUGACGGUACCUGCAGAAAAAGCGCCGGCUAACUACGUGCCAGCAGCCGCGGUAAUACGUAGGGCGCAAGCGUUAUCCGGAAUUAUUGGGCGUAAAGAGCUCGUAGGCGGUUUGUCGCGUCUGCUGUGAAAUCCCGAGGCUCAACCUCGGGCCUGCAGUGGGUACGGGCAGACUAGAGUGCGGUAGGGGAGAUUGGAAUUCCUGGUGUAGCGGUGGAAUGCGCAGAUAUCAGGAGGAACACCGAUGGCGAAGGCAGAUCUCUGGGCCGUAACUGACGCUGAGGAGCGAAAGGGUGGGGAGCAAACAGGCUUAGAUACCCUGGUAGUCCACCCCGUAAACGUUGGGAACUAGUUGUGGGGUCCAUUCCACGGAUUCCGUGACGCAGCUAACGCAUUAAGUUCCCCGCCUGGGGAGUACGGCCGCAAGGCUAAAACUCAAAGGAAUUGACGGGGACCCGCACAAGCGGCGGAGCAUGCGGAUUAAUUCGAUGCAACGCGAAGAACCUUACCAAGGCUUGACAUAUACGAGAACGGGCCAGAAAUGGUCAACUC
This 991-nucleotide ribosomal RNA is filed under the name Microbacterium paraoxydans. RNAcentral's name for it is "bacterial SSU rRNA". It matches the Rfam family "Bacterial small subunit ribosomal RNA", at positions 18 to 1016 of the family's 1533-position model. The record is from RNAcentral. Lineage: Bacteria; Bacillati; Actinomycetota; Actinomycetes; Micrococcales; Microbacteriaceae.